This is a non-coding RNA of Picea glauca (white spruce), 47 nucleotides long. The record is from Rfam. NCBI's taxonomy places the organism in Eukaryota, Viridiplantae, Streptophyta, Pinopsida, Pinales, Pinaceae.
GUAAUGGUGUCUUUAGACACCACCUCUAUUCUUCAAAAAAAUUCCCU